CCGGUUUUCAUUUUCGAUCUGAC
Molecule: microRNA, 23 nt
Filed under: Aedes aegypti (yellow fever mosquito)
Lineage: Eukaryota; Metazoa; Arthropoda; Insecta; Diptera; Culicidae
Also listed under: 1 other name
Description: aae-bantam-5p
Gene: aae-bantam-5p
Source: miRBase by way of RNAcentral